CAUCAUGCCAUCCACAUGGGAUGUGCAUUAGUUUCAAUGUUUUUCACCUGUACUUGACCUCCUAGGAGGAUUGUAUCAAAACUCCACCUUUUCAAUGCAAUGAAAUGCAAGUCCUCCGCGUUUUCUACAAAAAAAAAGAAAAAACUAAACUAGAUUAUGAUUUAAUUCAAAAUCCCCCCCAUACAUUCCCUAUUCAAGCCUUAUAAAUUUAGGGUGGGGUCCACAUGACACAUAUGGACUCAUGCCUAAAUCUUAGGGUUUUUGGAAGGGCAUUUUGGAACAACGAGCAGUUUUUAGGGUUUAACUCUUUAAAUCACGCGGUUCUGAAUUCUCCUCAUUUUCCAAUUAAAGGAAAAUUUAAACAUGAUGACAUGCAAUGCUCUC
RNAcentral lists this long non-coding RNA (384 nucleotides) under Hordeum vulgare. RNAcentral's name for it is "long non-coding RNA (HVUL_LNC012378)". The record is from RNAcentral. Lineage: Eukaryota; Viridiplantae; Streptophyta; Magnoliopsida; Poales; Poaceae.